GGCAUGAGCUUCUUCAGUCUGUUUAUUGCGGGCACGUAAGUCGUGUCGAACAGGUUAUUGACCGAGGCACAUGGAAGUUCUUCGUUGCAUCGCAAAAAUGGAUGGGAAUGAGAUUCGAAGUGCUUGAUAAAGAGAAGUAUAACACGUGGAAUUUUAAAUGCG
This is a long non-coding RNA of Bombus impatiens (common eastern bumble bee), 162 nucleotides long. RefSeq lists it as uncharacterized. The transcript is spliced from 2 exons. The record is from RefSeq and is a predicted model, not a curated record. Lineage: Eukaryota; Metazoa; Arthropoda; Insecta; Hymenoptera; Apidae.